RNAcentral lists this ribosomal RNA (776 nucleotides) under uncultured Neocallimastigales. RNAcentral describes it as "partial large subunit ribosomal RNA". It matches the Rfam family "Eukaryotic large subunit ribosomal RNA", at positions 26 to 644 of the family's 3401-position model. The record is from RNAcentral. Lineage: Eukaryota; Fungi; Neocallimastigomycota; Neocallimastigomycetes; Neocallimastigales.
CGUCUAUAUACGUAUAGCAUAUCAAUAAGCGGAGGAAAAGAAACUAACAAGGAUUCCCUUAGUAACGGCGAGUGAAGCGGGAAGAGCUCAAAUUUGAAAUCUUCAAGGUUCUACCUUGACGAAUUGUAGUUUAUAGAAGUGUUUUCUGUUAGUGGAGUGGCAAAAGUUCUUUGGAAUAGGACAUCAUAGAGGGUGAGAAUCCCGUAUUUGGUCAUUCCUCCUAGCGUUGUGAUACACUUUCAACGAGUCGGAUUGUUUGGGAAUGCAGUCCAAAAUGGGUGGUAAAUUUCAUCUAAAGCUAAAUACUUGGCGAGAGACCGAUAGCGAACAAGUACCGUGAGGGAAAGAUGAAAAGAACUUUGAAAAGAGAGUUAAACAGUACGUGAAAUUGUCAAAAGGGAAGCGUUUGACACCAGUGUUGUUUUCUCGAAAAUCAAUUAAACGAAUGUUUGUUUUGAGGAGUUAUGACUUCAUCAGCUUGCACUUUCUUACGAAGUCUUUCUUAAUGCACUUUUCGGUUAACAAGUCAACAUCAAUUUCUUUUGUUGUAAAAGAGUAUUAGGAAGGUGGCUUUCUUUUCGGAGAAAGUGUUUAUAGCCCUUAUGCCUCUACAAUCGGAGAGAUUGAGGUCUGCAGCGUAGAUCCUUCGGGGUUAGAUACACUUUGUGCUAAGUUGUAGCUUUUCAUAGACAACUUGUUGACUAUGUUUAGUCUUGUAGCUUACUCGCUUACGCUAUUUUACCUACGCUUAGGAUGUUGACUGAUAUGUAGUCGUA